This 486-nucleotide unclassified non-coding RNA is filed under the name uncultured Glomus. RNAcentral's name for it is "SSU rRNA". It matches the Rfam family "Eukaryotic small subunit ribosomal RNA", at positions 569 to 1062 of the family's 1831-position model. Lineage: Eukaryota; Fungi; Glomeromycota; Glomeromycetes; Glomerales; Glomeraceae. The record is from RNAcentral.
AGCAGCCGCGGUAAUUCCAGCUCCAAUAGCGUAUAUUAAAGUUGCUGCAGUUAAAAAGCUCGUAGUUGAAUUUCGGGAUCAAUAUGUUGGUCGUGCCUCGGUACGUACUAGCUUAUUGGUUUCUCCCUUCUGACGAACCAUGAUGUCAUUUAUUUGGUGUUAUGGGAAAUCAGGACUGUUACUUUGAAAAAUUAGAGUGUUUAAAGCAGGCUCACGCUUGAAUACAUUAGCAUGGAAUAAUGAAAUAGGACGUUUGAUUCUAUUUUGUUGGUUUCUAGGAUCGACGUAAUGAUUAAUAGGGAUAGUUGGGGGCAUUAGUAUUCAAUUGUCAGAGGUGAAAUUCUUGGAUUUAUUGAAGACUAACUACUGCGAAAGCAUUUGCCAAGGAUGUUUUCAUUAAUCAAGAACGAAAGUUAGGGGAUCGAAGACGAUCAGAUACCGUCGUAGUCUUAACCAUAAACUAUGCCGACUAGGGAUCGGAUGAUU